GUGUUGAUCACUUCAGCAGCACAUAUUCUAAAAUUGGAAGGAUACAGAGAAGAUAAGCAUGGCCCCUGUGCAAGGAUGACAUACAAAUUCGUGAAUUGUUCCAUAUUCUU
Small nuclear RNA from Mastomys coucha (southern multimammate mouse), 110 nucleotides. Lineage: Eukaryota; Metazoa; Chordata; Mammalia; Rodentia; Muridae. The record is from RefSeq and is a predicted model, not a curated record.